RNAcentral lists this ribosomal RNA (112 nucleotides) under Chinchilla lanigera (long-tailed chinchilla). The record is from RNAcentral. Lineage: Eukaryota; Metazoa; Chordata; Mammalia; Rodentia; Chinchillidae.
UACAGCCAUACCGCCCUGAACACGCUGGAUCUCAUCUGAUCUCCGAAGCUAAACAGGGUCAGGCCUGGUUAGCACUUGGAUGAAAAAACUUUUUGAGCAAAAACUGUUUUAC